CAGCACCUCAAGUGGUCAGGAUGAUUAUUGGGCCUAAAGCAUCCGUAGCCGGCGCUGUAAGUUUUCGGUUAAAUCUGUACGCUCAACGUACAGGCUGCCGGGAAUACUGCAGAGCUAGGGAGUGGGAGAGGUAGACGGUACUCGGUAGGAAGGGGUAAAAUCCUUUGAUCUAUUGAUGACCACCUGUGGCGAAGGCGGUCUACCAGAACACGUCCGACGGUGAGGGAUGAAAGCUGGGGGAGCAAAACGGAUUAGAUACCCGAGUAGUCC
Molecule: ribosomal RNA, 270 nt
Filed under: uncultured archaeon
Lineage: Archaea
Description: partial 16S ribosomal RNA
Rfam family: Archaeal small subunit ribosomal RNA
Source: RNAcentral